GAUGAAGAACGUAGCGAAAUGCGAUAAGUAAUGUGAAUUGCAGAAUUCAGUGAAUCAUCGAAUCUUUGAACGCACAUUGCGCCCGCCAGUAUUCUGGCGGGCAUGCCUGUUCGAGCGUCAUUUCAACCAUCAAGCCCCCGGCUUGUGUUGGGGACCUGCGGCUGCCGCAGGCCCUGAAAACCAGUGGCGGGCUCGCUAGUCACUCCGAGCGUAGUAAUACAUCUCGCUCAGGGCGUGCUGCGGGUUCCGGCCGUUAAAAGCCUUAUUUUACCCAAGGUUGACCUCGGAUCAGGUAGGAAGACCCGCUGAACUUAAGCAUAUCAAUAAGCGGAGGA
RNAcentral lists this unclassified non-coding RNA (335 nucleotides) under soil metagenome. Its description in RNAcentral is "partial contains 5.8S ribosomal RNA, internal transcribed spacer 2, and large subunit ribosomal RNA". The stretch from base 1 to 120 matches the Rfam family "5.8S ribosomal RNA", at positions 35 to 154 of the family's 154-position model. The record is from RNAcentral.